UUCCUAAAAUAAUUUAUUAGAGUAUCAAAAUACCUCCAUGUAGCUAUCCAAUGCCUUACUUCUGGUAGGAAAAUAAGAUGGAUUCCUACCAAAUGAGUUCUUGUUAUAAUAUUUGAAGGGGCAUGCGAGAAACCUUGUCUCUGUCUAAUGCCAACCUUCAAUUUUUAGGAUUCUCACCUAAUGUUUGUCCAAAACCAAAACAAACAUCUAUUACCCAACUCUUGUGAACUUUUCCUAAAGUUUCUGACAUGUUUUGGUCCAUAACUUUGUUUUACCAAAACCCAUCUUUUACCUGCUUCUCCUUUUGACAAAAAUUCACUUUCAGAUGCUUAGUUGCUACUUUUCUUUGAUUUCACAUGAACCCAAAAUUUUUUCAACUCUGGUUCUUUAUCCUAAAAUAUGCAGCAUCCACUGUUCUUUCUUCCAACACUUUUGGAAAUUUUGGUCCUGACAUGAUUGGCCUAGAUUUUGCUUUUAGAAAAGGAGCAGUCAUGAGAUUUUGAUUUAACCUUAAAUCAUUUCUACAAAGAAUUUAUGGCAACCGACAAUUAUAUCAUUCCUUAAACAGUAUAUGUAAGUGCUCAGAUGUAGACACCCAAAAAAAUGAAUCAAGGCCGUUCUUUUUUUUUAAGAUACAAUCUCAUAAUGCUAAAGACGACUCUAGGACUCCAAUACAUGUAUCAUUUGUGCACAAAUAAAAGAACAGAGUGUUGAGCACCGUCCAGACAUUUCUGAAAGUUCUAAGUAGGUCCCGAAGAGUCACAAGCAAGUGGGCUAUUUCUAGAUUUAACAUUGAUAAGAUGAGAAAUGAACCAUUUGGUCUCCACAAUAAUUUCAAAUAAUCAACUAAAAAAACUCGUCUAUGGUUCUAGCCUGCUGCAUGAUGUACGGCAGCAUUGAUGCUGAAGGCAAAUUACGCUAGAAGAUUUAAAGCAUUAAGGGGAAAUUAUCGAUUCCGAAAAUGAGACUGAUUUGCAGGAGCUCAUGAGGAACCAACAUACCCCAUGCUAUAUGUAAUUAUUAAGAAAAAGAAUGGGAUGGAAGUAGAAUUAAGACAGAAGUUAAAGUGUUACUGGUAUACGCAAUCCGUCAUAGCUUAGUUGUACAUCAAGCCCUUCUGUCUCCAACAAUUUCGACAGAUACACAUUAACCUUUUCAUGAUCCAUCAGGUGCAUCAUGCCUGUGAAAAGUGUUCUCUUUGGUUGAAUUUUCCGCACUUCAUCUAACGCCCUUGGAAGUCCAAAAUGUGUUGAAGAAGACCGAUCAGGCCUCAGAGCAUCCUGAAACAAAAAAUGAAAUAUAAGCUAGAAAGGGAGAACAUUGAUGAGGCAAUGAAAAAAUGGCAAAUGCAAGUGAUUGUGUUCAUGCGCCUCCUUUUAUGCAUGCGUGCAUAUGAGAGAGAGAGAGAGAGACCAAAAUCAGAAUUUCACAGUCCUUGAGUAGUGGAUAAGUUCCUUCAGGUAUCUCACUAACAUCACUUAUGUAACAUAUGUUACCAAAGCGAAAACCAAGGGAACGAUAACCACGACCAUGCCACACUGGUAAAGGGGUAAACUGAAACAAUAAAUGAAAAUGGUUCACCUUAGAGAGUAAAGUAUUCUGUUUUUACUUGUUAACAUGAUAUUGGACUCAAAUGAGAAAGAUGCUCCAUUCCAAAUUAUUUGGUGUUUAGAUUAGAAAGUUCAAAGAAGUAUGAUUACGUGCUCUGACAAGCAAGACCACAUCAACAACUAACUAUGCAAAGAAUGGUGCCAGAAGACAUUAAAUUUUAUUGAACAGUUUAAAACACAACCAGAAUUUGAUCAACUAAAGAUUGAACAAUUCUGUUUUGCUGUGGCUGCAAGAUAGAAUUCUAAGUAAUUCCUCUUGACUGGCAAAUCCAUCUGUCACAACUACUGGUUUGGUUCACAAGAUUUGUCGAUAACUGUAUCAAUACCAUCAGAUCAGAUGCUACAAAUGGCUCCUCAUAUAUGAUGUUAAAUUGUAAGUCUGAGACAACAGCACCAGUUGUAACGACACUCGUAUCCACCAAAUAAUAAUGAGUCUUCUUCAUCACCUCAAAAUCACGCUGUGCAACGUAGAUUGGGAUGCAAGGCUGCACAUUGUUUGUCCAAUCCCGAAGAUCAUCCAGACCUAAGUAAGCAAUUUAAGCAGAAAAAGAAUGCUCUUUAGUGUCAGGUAACAUGUGAGUUUCUAUUUGAAAAGGAGAAGAAACUUCUUGCUUUGUCAGAGUAGCAUUCUUCUUUUCACUAAAUAACACUAGAAAGUGUCAAUGUAGGAGACCUCCAAUUGCAUCAGCAUGAGAAUGAGUAAUAAUAACUGCAUCAAUUGUUCUUAACCUGACACAAACAAAAAGGCAAAUGCAUGACAAUAUCUGUAUACAAUAUAAGAGAACCAGCAAAGAACUAGCAAUUCAAUAAGCUACCCCACAACCUCCACCACUUCUUUGAACUAUUAAAGACUUAAAAGACAAAUUAACAACAGAACAAAUAGCAAACUGAACUGUGCAAAAGAUAUACUCUUUUUGCUAGUGUCAAAGUGGGUGUGGUAUAUCUAUGGAGCACUUGCCUGGCAAUAGGAUUUCAACAGCUGUGCCCUUUUAUCUUAUUUGGCAAUGAUCAUCAUGUCUGUAUAUGUGAAAUGCAAUCCUUGAGGUGCUUUUUCCGCAUUCUAAUUUUUGUAUUCCACUUGGUCAUGAGUUGUUCCUUUUUCUUGUUUGUAUGGAUUACAUGAACAACUAUUCAAUUGUUUAUAAAGUAAUUGCAUGUUAUUGAGAAGUUUCUAGUUGAUUAUUUAUACAUAGUAAUAGGCCAUUGGAGCAUUUGGAGCAUGAAAACAACAAUAGGCCAUUGGAGCAUGAAAACAACAGAACAACUUCAGCCUUAAGUCAUUAGUUGAAAUAAAAAAUGAACCAGGAUUCUCCCUUAAAUAUUUGCCAAACUUAUUAAGAUAUUCCCUUAUACAUUUGCCCAAGUGAAAGAGUCAUAGAUCAUGAAGGACCAACUAAUUUCUAUGGAGCCCCAAAAUAACAUAUUGGAGUAAAUGUAUAGAAUGAAAACUAACCCAAAUGCAGGAAACCAUCGAAGAGCACUAUGGUAGAAAAACCUGCAAAAUAUAAGUUGCAAAGAAAAAGUUUGAUCAAAUUAUAAAGGGUAAUUAAUCAAACCAGUAAAUAAUACUCAGUCAACAGGAACUUGGUUGGCCACAUUAUUCAGCAGGAACAAAGUUCUUUUGCUAUUACUUAAAUAUCUUAGACUUUUUCCCUACAAUAGGUAACAAAUUGACACAUGCAUCAAACCUGAAGAAUUAAAAUUACACCAAAUCAUCAAUCUGUGCCCCAAAGGUUUAAUUGUCACAUUUUGUCUGCGCAUAGAAAUUUGACUUUCAAUCAAAAUCUAAGCAUACAAAUGCCAACAUGUACAUUAAUCCCACAAAAAGAGCUUCCACAAUUCAAAUCAUUCCCUCCUCCCCGUCCAAUGCUAACUUACUAUCGUCUACAAAAAUUCAAAGAAUCACAAGAACCCAAUGCUAUCAUUUUUUAAGGCUAACCCAAAUUUAAUACAUGAUCCAUGAAGUAAGGAAUACCAAGCUGAAGAUAACUUCAUUCCACAUCCUAUUUCAAUCCAUAGCUAAAAUUAUAAAAGAAAGUGCAACUGAAAAUGAUAAGAUGUCAGAAAGAUGAGCAUUUAAUAUUGAUUAAAAAAACCUGAAAUUCCACAUAUAGGAAUGCAUGCUUAGCCAAAUAGAACUUAGCAUUAGUGUAACAGUUAAGUAGCCAUUUAAAUUUUUAUAUGAAAAUAAAAUAGUCAGAGCUAUAAGUAUAUUUGACUUACUUGCCAACAUCUAUUAGAAUGUUGCGUCUUUCACCCGGCCCAGAAUAACGAAUAAGGAGGCCUGUGUUCAAUCUCCUGUUCUUAUUACCUAGUUCCACAGCUUUUGAGCACACCGGACAUUUCUUUGAACGAUUAGUAAGGCAGCUGAGACGUGGAAUCCCUUCACUAGUUCCUGUUCCCAUGAAUAUGAUUUCAGAUUGUUCUAAGGGUGACUGUGCAUCCGCAUUUCCUCCUGCAUUUGAAAUAAAGCAAGCUCGCAGAAUCCUCUUAGAUAGAGAGAACCCAUUUUUGGAAAGUGAAAAUGGAGAGAGCCCAUUACGGGAGAGUGAAAGUGAAGAGCUCUGGAAAGAGAAUUGGCGUCCGUGGUGAUCAAAACUCGGUAGAGAAGGAGAUACACGAACUGUGCCUAGAAAUUGGACCAUAGUUUGAGCAAGCUCGAAUUUUUUUGGUUUCUGUCACUUGGGAUUUUAGAAUUCUUUGAAUGUAAAUUUAAAUUUUGAAAAGAAGAAGAGGACUAGCUGAAAGAAAAUACGCUUUUCAGAUGCGAAAGGUGGCUUUUUGGUUUCGAAGAGUAUGGAGUGGAGGAUUCGUCUUCUGGUUGGUGAAGACAAAGAAAAAAGUUGACAGGGUUUCCAAGAAAUAAUAUAAGAAACCGAAACGACAACGCUUUGGUGGUGGCGGCGGCCGCCAACUUCAGUUCCUUGUGUCGUCAAGCUAAGAACAAUAUCUAAAAAAAUAAAAAUUCGUGAACAGGAUAGUUUUAUAUCAACUGAAAUUUUUCAACGCUGCCGUGGUUGAGCGAUCCUUGCGUGUGCGUCCUGGCGUUGAGGUCAUCCCUGGCCGCCGCUUGGUUGGUGCUGGUUCUGCCACAUGCUUCGGUCGGCGUCUGCAAGUUGGGACUUCCUGCUCAAGGGUUCUGGGUUGAGGUCUGGGCCGUUUGUCUCAUGGGCUGGGUAUUUUUCAGAUAGGGCCUCUUAGUUUUAAGCUAAUGAAUUUCUGUUUUUGGGCCUUUAAGCCCUGCUGUGUACU
This 4862-nucleotide unclassified non-coding RNA is filed under the name Hevea brasiliensis (rubber tree). Lineage: Eukaryota; Viridiplantae; Streptophyta; Magnoliopsida; Malpighiales; Euphorbiaceae. The record is from RNAcentral.